GAUGAACGCUGGCGGCGUGCCUAAUACAUGCAAGUCGAGCGAACGGACGAGAAGCUUGCUUCUCUGAUGUUAGCGGCGGACGGGUGAGUAACACGUGGAUAACCUACCUAUAAGACUGGGAUAACUUCGGGAAACCGGAGCUAAUACCGGAUAAUAUUUUGAACCGCAUGGUUCAAAAGUGAAAGACGGUCUUGCUGUCACUUAUAGAUGGAUCCGCGCUGCAUUAGCUAGUUGGUAAGGUAACGGCUUACCAAGGCAACGAUGCAUAGCCGACGUGAGAGGGUGAUCGGCCACACUGGAACUGAGACACGGUCCAGACUCCUACGGGAGGCAGCAGUAGGGAAUCUUCCGCAAUGGGCGAAAGCCUGACGGAGCAACGCCGCGUGAGUGAUGAAGGUCUUCGGAUCGUAAAACUCUGUUAUUAGGGAAGAACAUAUGUGUAAGUAACUGUGCACAUCUUGACGGUACCUAAUCAGAAAGCCACGGCUAACUACGUG
Molecule: ribosomal RNA, 497 nt
Filed under: uncultured bacterium
Lineage: Bacteria
Description: partial 16S ribosomal RNA
Rfam family: Bacterial small subunit ribosomal RNA
Source: RNAcentral